UAAUCUAUUUGGGUUAGAUCCUUAUUUAAUUAUGUAAGAUCCUUACUUAAAUGCUCAUAACUUUUAGUUUAUACAAGUUUGGCUGCAUCAACCUUCAUCCUUUACAAAAUCUUUUUGUACUCAAAGAUUUGUUAUAUU
Molecule: non-coding RNA, 138 nt
Organism: Populus trichocarpa (black cottonwood)
Lineage: Eukaryota; Viridiplantae; Streptophyta; Magnoliopsida; Malpighiales; Salicaceae
Source: Rfam